AGCCCUUUUGGACUUGUUGCACUGCAUUAGAUAAGUAACUCUCUUGCACCAAAGUAUCUAAGUAGCAAUUUACAUGGUAAAUUAUGUUAACGGUUUCAAGAGCUUGAAACCAUUUCCAAAAUAUGUUUAAACAAAAUCCUUACUUAUCAUUAAACUGAAAAUAAAAACAAAGUGUUAGACACAAUUAAUUAAUUAAUUGAAUUGUUAAAUUUUAUUUUUUUCAGUUGAUGAGCUCCUCAAAAUGGCCACAGAUACACUCUUCUGUCUCCAAGCCUAAAGUGACCACAGAAUGUAGAGGACUGUGUGUCUGUGGUUCAGGCAGAAGCUCAGCAUCAUCACCUCCUCUGCCAAAUCUUCCUGCCUUUUGUCAUGCCAAAUGGAUGAUGACUCUAUAAGAGAAUUGUGUGAGUAAAGGGUAGAGUUAAGCAAUAUGACUCUAUUAUGUCCUGUCAUUUCUGAUUAAUCUGAUUCUCUCAAGAUGGAAAUACUACAAAAUACUAGUUUUUGAACAUUCAAUGCUGGGGAUAUUAAUAAGGCUAUUAACCUAGUAGGAAAGAAGUAGCAAAAAAUGCCGGGAAUGGAAAAGAAAUCUGUCAGGUGCAUUCUAAAAUACCCAUGUCAGUAAUUGAACAAGCUUUGAACAAGAUUGAACAGUUCUUCCUGAUUUGUUAAAGCUUUGCAUUUUUUGCCAUAAGCAGCUAUAUAUUGCUGGUACACAGCCUUCUGGAACAUAUGUGAUUAUCCUGUAAUUUUUCUCUUCUGCAGUUUGUGCAGAUCUGUGGAUAUCACUGUGCUGGACUGUGGAUAUCACUUGAAAAAUUCAUCUACAGUGAAGCCACAAUGGUCACAGAAAUGUUGUGCUUCCCCUAUGUUACCUACCUAUCUGUUACCGCCUUUUCAAGAAAGACUGCAUUAAAUGUCUUUCUUUAGGAAGGUCAUUAGUCAUAUUUUCUAAUGGAGCUAAAACCAGAUUUUUCUAAAGCAUAUUGAUUUCUGUCUAGGGUGGGGCAGCCUUGCAAUGGAAAAUGUAUCAUUAAGAAUAUAUUACAUCUGGACAAUAAUCUUCAGGUACCUGUAAAGAUCAGAGGGAUGCCAAUAUGAUCUUGAGCUCUGAAUUGGUGUGGUCUCUGUGGAAAAGGUGGAUAGAUAGUAUUUGUGUAGAGACUACACAAAAUACUUGGGGUUUAGUAUUUAAUGCUAGCAGAUUGUGCUAAAUGUACUAGGAAGGUAAUCUUUAUGUUGGCAAAUCCAGAAUCAUUUGGCACCAUAACUCUCCUCAAGUGUGACAUCCUGCCCUCCCAGCAGGCCAAAAGAAGCUGAACAAAGAAGAGCAGGGAGUCAGGAAAGUUAGUUUUUCUGUGCUGCUCUCUCCUACCUACAAGAAAUAUUCAUUUACAAAAUGCAUUGGCUAGCUGUUUGCUUCUCUUUCUCCACAGGAUUUAAGGUAAAAGAUGCAGCCUGUGCCUUCCCUUACCUGGAUAUUUCUCCCUGGUGUGGGCAAGGUAUCCUGACAAUCAGUAUGGCUGAGAAAGCCUUUGAAUGAGGCUCAACAGAGCACUUUCCUUCAUUAGCUGUCUUGAAAGCAAAACAAAGGAAAUCCAUCCAGAUCUUUAGCCAAUCCUGCUCAAAGAGAGCAAAGCCUUCAAAAACCCCUAUGGCUGAAAAAAUGUUGUGAUGGCUGCCAAGUCAGGCACUAAGAAGUUAGUAAAUAUUAAAAUGGAGACUUCCUUAAUAUAGUUCUUUCAUGCAUGUAAUUGGGAUUUAGCUUUCAACUGAAUAAACACCAACUGAGAAUGCA
RNAcentral lists this long non-coding RNA (1798 nucleotides) under Anas platyrhynchos platyrhynchos (common mallard). RNAcentral's name for it is "lncRNA (ENSAPLG00000025464.1)". Lineage: Eukaryota; Metazoa; Chordata; Aves; Anseriformes; Anatidae. The record is from RNAcentral.